This 11288-nucleotide long non-coding RNA is filed under the name Solanum tuberosum (potato). RNAcentral describes it as "long non-coding RNA (STUB_LNC011014)". Lineage: Eukaryota; Viridiplantae; Streptophyta; Magnoliopsida; Solanales; Solanaceae. The record is from RNAcentral.
UCGAUCGUAGUAGAGGUUGGAGGGAUUGAAAUUGGCCAAGGGCUAUGGACAAAGGUUAGACAGAUGACUGCCUAUGCUCUUGGUUUAAUUGAUAGUAGUUGGGCCGAAGACCUCGUGGAGAAAGUACGAGUCAUACAAGCAGACACCUUGAGCUUAGUGCAAGCCGGGUUUACAGCUGGAAGCACUACAUCGGAAACAAGCUGUGAAGCUGUUAGACUUUGCUGUGAUAUCUUGGUUGAAAGACUGACCCCUUUGAAGAAACAGCUGCAGGAACAAAAUGGCUCUGUUGAUUGGCCAAUGCUGAUUCGCCAGGUUUGAUUUCCUACUAUAUUGUAAUAAACAGAGAAAAAACUAGAGAAACAUAAGAAUACAUCGAUAUUUAUACACGAGAGAAAUAUUCUAAACUUAAUGUAAAUCCUACAAAUUGUGUGCAUAAUGUUCUACAACUAAAGCUAUACAAUACUCUACACUUCUUAAAUAUCUCUUACAUAUAUUCUAAACCAAAUGUUGUAUCUAGAAUAUCUCUUGCAGAUUUACCAUAUCGAGAAUAUCUUAAUGUAGAUCAUACAAAAUAUUCUAUGAUCUGUACAUCAUACUAACAUGUAUAACCACCUUCUCAUUUUUUUCGAUAUUUCAACUCUGGAAGCCAUGGGGUCAGUCACAAUGAAAUUUCUAGUCUUGAAUUCAAUAUGACGACCAUAACAAAGUAAUUCACUUAAUAGUAACUAAUUGCUUAUAUAUUGUUUGGAGCGAUAAGUGAACUAAUUGUAUGUGUUAAAUGUCUGAGCUUGCAGUUGUCUCCCACUCUCCCCUUAUUUUGCAGGCACAAGCGCAAUCAGUAAACUUAGCUGCAAAUUCUUAUUAUGUACCAGAAUUCGAUUCCAUGAGUUAUUUGAACUUUGGCGCUGCUGUCAGUGAGGUAACUUGUUGUUUCUGUCUGUUCUUCUGGUUCCCUCAUCCAUGUUUCGGUAACGUUCCCCGCUUCAGUCUGCUUCAUGGUUUAUCAAUUUUCAAUAUAUAUGAGUGACAUUACUUGGCAGGGAGCUCUGAUUGUGGAAUACUCCCUCCGUUUCAAUUUGUUUGUCUGAUUUGACUUGACAAAGUAAAGAACUUUUGAAUCUUGUGGUCUUAAACAUGUCAUGUGGAAAAUUGGAAUAAAAGAGCUGACAAGAAAGGAAAGAGACAUUCGUGUUUAAACAGACUAAAAAGGAAAGUAAGACAAAGAAAUUGAAACGGAGGGAGUGUUUUGCAGCACCUUCAUUUGGCUAAGUAAUAAUAAAGCUUUUUUGCAGGUGGAGAUUAAUAUUCUGACUGGAGAGACUGCCAUUUUGCAGUCGGAUAUCAUUUACGACUGUGGGCAAAGCUUGAAUCCAGCCGUUGAUUUGGGACAGGUUCUUCCCUUCGUCGUAGAUUUUAGAUUUUGUAAUUAGAAUUUGCUUAUAGAUUGAGAAAUACAUCAUGCAUAUGAUCUGUUCUUCCAUAUUGUUCAUAAAUGUGAGAUUACUUUUCUUUUCCUUUGCUGCAGAUUGAAGGGGCUUUUGUACAUGGAAUCGGAUUUUUCAUGCACGAAGAAUAUCUUACAAACAAAGACGGGUUAAUGGUCUCAAAUAGCACUUGGACAUACAAGAUCCCGACUAUUGACACUAUACCUCAGAAUUUCAAUGUUCAUGUGGUAAACAGUGGACAUCACGAAAAACGCGUUCUCUCAUCUAAAGGUAUUAUUCUGUUUUCAUUUGUUUUCCCACCCCUUCUGCCAAACAAGUUCUUUGCAUUUUCGCUUAUAACUGUGAAUUACAUCAUCAAAUUCUGAAUUUUCCUUUAUUCAUACAAACUGUUGAAUCUCAACUUGAUAACUCUUUUUGCAGCAUCUGGUGAACCGCCGUUGCUUCUGGCAGCUUCAGUCCACUGUGCAGCAAGAGCAGCCGUUAAAGCAGCACGUGAACAGCUCCAACUAUGGGGCAAGCUUGACGGGUCUGUUUCAGAAUUCUAUCUGGACGUCCCCGCCAUAAUACCCGUUGUGAAGACACAGUGUGGCCUGGAUUAUGUGGAGAAAUAUUUGGAAAGUUUGCUGGCUCAGAAAUCUAACUAAAAGUGCUUCAACAUGCAUCUCAGAAUGAUACUGAACUAUGUUGCUCGGACUCUUCAACAUGUUGCAUCAGCUGUGUCGGUUCCUCAAAAAAUACACUAUUUUUUUACGACCUGACAUACACUUAGGGGUAUUUUUGAAAAGUCCGAGGAACAUAGACACUGAAUACUUUGUUUUUAUGUAUAUCUUGAAGAAUUUGAACUGUUCUUUUUAUUGAAAAUCUGUGAUUUAAAGUUUCUUUAUUGUUCUUUCUAUAUCAACCUUAGUGUAAAUUUAGAUUGUAUAGCAAUAAAAUGAUAUUGUAUUAACUGAACUAUAUAGAGAAAUAUUACUCUUGCCGUCUAUUUUUACUUGUUCACUAUACUUAAAUUAAAAUAGAUGUCCAUUUUUACUUAUCCAAUUUGAAAAAUCAAUAAAUAAUUUACUAUUUUAUAUCUAUUUUUACAAUCAUUAUUAAGUACUAUUCAUUUUCCACUAUAUUUCCAUAACAUUGAGUUUAUUAUAUUCAAAAUGCGGUAGAGUAAAAUUAUAGUGUCUAAUGGGUAAUUCGUUUGUAGAAACUGAUGUCAUAUUUGAGCAUAACUUAUAGAAUAUUAUGAUAUUGCGAAAAAAAUUAUUCGUUACCAGGAACAUAAAAUAAAUUAAAGACUAACACAAAAUAAUGGAUAUUCCUAUCAAAUCCUCUUACCUUUGGGGUCCACUAAACCUCAUAUGGCUUUAUAAUAUAACCAAUGUCAUCAUGAUAUGCAAGAACAUGUAUUUGAACUAAUAUAUUACUCCCUCUGUUAAAUUUUAUGUCACACUUUUCGAAUUUCGAAAUUCACAUAAAUCUAUUUUCGAUCGUAGGUUUUUCAUAAAUCUUUUAAAUAUUUUGAAUUAUCAAUUAUUGUGACUAAUAGUACUUUUUACAUUGUUUACAAAUAUAUAAAUUUCAUUUCAAAAAAAAUAAAGAUACCAUGCGCAAAUUCCCGGUCAAACUUAAACUGUUUGACUCUCAAAAUAUGAAAAGUACCACAUAAAUUAAAGCAAACGGAGUACUAUUUUAUUUGUUGACCAUAUUGUGCAUUUAUGUUACAUGAAGCUUUUGUGUUAAAAUUUAAGUCUUUGGACACCAAAUCAAUUUCAAGAUUCUUGGUUUUUCUUUUGAUCAGUUGUAAAUAAUUAAUCAACAUUAAAAAAAAGGAAAAAAACUUAAAUAAGAUAUCAAAUUUUGAACAAAGACUUAUUAAUGUUAUCAUAAAAAUUGGGCUCAUCGUCUAUUUAUGACAUUAUUUUUUAACAAAAAAUAUAAAUGAUCUUGCAAUAACCAUUUUUUCCACGUGGCCUCUUAUUAGCGGUCUACGUCUCCAAAAUUAAACCGGUCCAUCCUUUUAACACAUUUAAAAUUAAAACUUGGACCCAUUAACAUUAAAACAAGCAAAAAAAAUAAAAUAAAUACUUUAGUCUAUUAUCUUUUUGUAAAAGAAAGAAAUCUUUUCUAUUCAAUUAUAUCAAGUAAUAAUAAUAAAUAAUUGGGAACUUUUGACAUUUCAUAGGUAACCAUCACACACCCCCAAACAAAAUCAUAAGAGAAUCGUCAUUUUUUUUUAAUAUUGAAGUGACUGUCCAUCAUCUAUAUAAAUAAACUAUUAUUUAGGAAAUCAUAUCUCUGUAUGACUUUUUCAAAUCACAUUAUAAUAUUAUAAUUUUCCAAUAAGUACAAAAAGUAUGUUAACAUAGAUGUGUGAUGUACUAAAAGAGAUUGAAUAAGGUGAAAUUUGAAAGUGACCUAGACAAGAUAGGGAAAUAAGACUGAAAUGAUUUGUUAUGUGCUCUAAUGAGGAUCUGUGAGAUCCUGUUGGUUACCGUGGAUAUAAAGAGAGGUAGAGGAAGACAAAAAAAGUUUUCGAGAUAUGUGAUUAAAUAGAACAUAACAUACCUGCAUCUGAACAUGACGCUAGAUAGAAAAACAUAAAUGCCAAGAAUUAGGGUAGAAUGUCAGUGAUUAUUCGAGCAUCGUCUGGUUCCCUUAUCAGUAUUGUUGAUUCCUUUGCUUCAGUUGUCAUAUUAUUUAUUGUAGUUACUUUUUUUUUUCUUAAUUGUUUUCAGCAUGAGUUUUUCGCUAUUAUAUUUAUUUUACAUACUUAAUUUUUGAUAUACUUACUCGAGCUGAGGUCUAUUAAAAAUCACGUCUCUACCUUCACAAGGUAGACAUAAGGUUGCCUAUAUAUUAUCCUCUCCAGAUCUCACGUACGAAAAUCUCCUUUCCUAAGUGGAAUAAUCAUCAAUAUAUGAGAUCACUCGAACAUGUUCCACCUAAUCGUUGACUUCUUGUAAAUUGAUUCUGAAUAACUUUAUUGAGAUCAAAUGCAAAAAAAAUGCAAAGGCUUUUAAUUUUGCGAAAUAUGCUAAUUUAAUUUUAUUCCUUUUUAAUAUUAUAUUUUUAAUAACUAUACAAAAUAUUACUCCUAGUAAUUAAAUUAAAAAAAUUAAAAUAUUAUUAAUAUAAAUAAUUUAAUAAAAUAAAUCUUCAAUAAAUAUUUUUUCAAAAGGAUCCAAGUUAGUGGACAAAUAAAACUGAAGACAUUAUGUCCUCAAUAUAUAUUUCUUGAAAAAGUCCACACACACAAAACAAAAAAAAGUACAUUUUGUGGAACCACAAAAUGGGGCACCAUGAAAUCUCAUAUAACUUAAUAAUUUAAGGCUAUGAUUUAACCAAUCAUGUUAAGCUAUGCAAGAAAAUGUUGAAUGUUAUGUAGUAUUAUUAUCAUAUUGUUUGUUGACUAUUUUGAGAUAAUAAAAGUUUAGUUAUUUGGGGACACCCCAAUACAAUUCCAAGAUUCUUGCUUUUUCUUUCAGUUUCUGUUAUUUUUUCAGCUCAAAAAGUUGAAAAAGACAAGAUUUUUGAUAAAGGGUAUGUGUCAAAGUUAACUGCUUUAGUGUUUCAGCUAGCCAAGAAUCUUGAUUUGAAAAGCUUUUGUGUUAAAAACUCAAUCUUUGAACACCCUAUUCAAGAUUCAUGAUUUUUUUCUUUAAGUUCUGAUGUUUUCAGCUUAGGAAGUAGAAAAAGAUAAGAUUUUAAUAGACAACAGUGUUGUGGGUUCUAAGAUUAUGGGUUCGAGUUACCAAGAAUAGGAAGGAAAAAAGAAAAAAGAUAAGAUUUAUGAUAAAGGGUGUGUGUCAAGUUAAAGUAAGCAUUUGGAAAUCCAAUUCAAUUCAAGAUUCUUGCUUUUUCUUUCAGUUGUGAUGUCUUUUGGCACAGAAAGUAGAAAAAGACAAGAUUUUGACAAAAGGGUCUGUGAAUCUUGAUUAUUGUAUAAGCUUUUGUGUUUAAAAGUUAAGUUUUUGAAUUCAAGAUUCUUGUUUCUUCUUUCACUUCUGGUGACUUUCAGUUUAAAAAGUAGAAAAAGACAAGAUUUUUUAUAAAGGAUCUGUGUGAAGUCAACUGCUAUUACAUUAAUGGAAGAAAGACAAAAGAAUGUGAGUUUGGUUUUGGCAGUUAAUGGAGAGAGAUUUGAGUUGCCAUGUGUUGAUCCUUCUACAACUCUGCUUCAGUUCUUGCGCUCUGAGACUUGUUUCAAGAGUCCCAAGCUUGGUUGUGGUGAAGGUAAUUCUCCUAUAUAUUAUUUUACAACUCUAUUACAUGUAUACUAUAUGUUUUUUUGAUAAACGUGGUGUCCAGGUCAGCUUGCCCGCAGAUACCUACUUAUAUGGUAACUCUAUCAUCAAGGUUUGGACAUAUAGGAAAUUCUGUAGUGUUUUUACCUAUAUAUGCUGAUAUGACAACUUCUGCUGUACUUUUAUUGUUAAUUAGUGAUCUUGCAGAAAGUUUAUGAUAACUUAUUAGGACUUCCUUUUUGAGGUUUUUUGGUUCUGUGCUUAAAUUCUGUACUCUCUAAGUGUUGUUUGACAAUCUAAGGGUGUGGAACGGUAAAGAUUCUUUCAUCCUUAGCCAGAGGUCUUGAGUUCGUGUUUUGAGAUUGAGGUCCUCUUAGGUAUAGAGGGUUUUCAGGCAAUGAAAAUCAGUCAUUUACAUGAAUUAGUUCUCUUAAGAUGGAGUUUUUUGCUUCACAGUGAACUACUUUAUGUAAUUCCUUUUCCUUUUUUUCUUUUCUUGUUAAUUGGAAGUACAAUGGCUAACUUUAGAUUAUAUGGAAACUCUUUUUUUUUUUUCAUAAGUCUUGUAAAGAGGUAUCAUCUCAUCAUCUGAUUUAUGUUUUUGUAACAAAUUCUAUAUUUUGGCUUCAGAAAGAACAUAACUUAUUUGUGUUGUUAAAGGUGGUUGUGGAGCUUGUGUCGUUCUGGUGUCGAAGUAUGAUCCCAAUCUUGAAAAGGUUGAAGAUUUUAGCGUGAGUUCGUGUCUUACACUUCUUUGCAGUUUAAAUGGUUGUUCAAUUACGACAAGUGAAGGCCUUGGGAACACCAGAGAUGGUUUUCACUCUAUUCAUGAAAGAUUUGCCGGUUUCCAUGCUUCUCAAUGCGGCUUUUGCACUCCUGGCAUGUGUAUGUCAUUUUUCUCAGCUCUCGUUAAUGCCGAUAAAGGAAACAAACCCAAUCCUCCACCAGGAUUCUCUAAGCUUACUUCAUCUGAAGCUGAAAAGGCCAUCACAGGGAACCUUUGUCGAUGCACUGGAUACCGGCCCAUUGCUGAUGCCUGCAAGAGUUUUGCUGCUGAUGUUGAUAUAGAGGAUUUGGGGUUCAAUUCUUUUUGGAAAAAGGGAGAUUCCAAUGAAGUGAAAGUAAGUAAGUUACCUCCCUAUGACCCAACCAAGAAUUUUAGUACAUAUCCUGAGUUCUUGAAAAGUGAAUCCACUACGAAUUCGGACUCCUCAAGGAGGUACCCUUGGUACAGUCCUGUUUCCAUUGAGGAGCUACGGAGCUUGUUGUACCCCAAUGUUAUGGAAAAUGGUGCAAGCUUUAAACUUGUCGUUGGAAAUACCGGCACAGGUUAUUAUAAGGAAACUCAGCCAUAUGAUCAUUAUGUUGAUCUCAGGUACAUUCCUGAAUCCUCAAUCAUCGAAAGAGAUCAGAAUGGAAUUGAAGUUGGAGCAACCGUGACUAUCUCUAAACUCAUUUCAUUCUUGAAAGAGGAAAACAAAGUCAAUCUUGGUUCAUACGGGACGUUGGUGUCCCAAAAACUAGCUAACCACAUGGAGAAGAUUGCUUCACCAUUUGUUCGAAACUCUGCUAGUGUGGGAGGAAAUUUGGUUAUGGCACAGAAGAAUGGUUUUCCUUCAGAUAUUGCUACAUUAUUUCUUGGACUUGGUGCUACUGUUAGAUUGAUGACCAGUCAUGGAUUUGAAAAGCUCACAUGGGAGGAGUUAUUAUCGAGACCACCGCUAGACUCAAAGACUGUGCUUCUAAGUGUUUGCAUCCCAUUUAAGAAUGCUCAAAGUUCUCUCCAAACUCACUCUAAAUUGUUGUUUGAUACCUUUCGAGCUUCUCCACGACCUCAUGGGAAUGCAUUGGCAUAUGUAAACGCUGCUUUCCAUGCUGAUGUUUCUCACUGCAAGAACGGCGUCCUGAUAAACAAUAUCCAAUUGGCGUUUGGUGCUUAUGGCACAAAACAUGCAACAAGGGCUAAAAAAGUAGAGGAAUAUCUAGACGGGAAGAUAUUAAAUGUACAUGUUUUAUAUGAAGCACUUAAAUUAGUCAAACUAGCAGUGAUACCGGAAGAUGGCACUUUACACCCCGAGUACAGAUCAAGCUUGGCUGUCAGUUAUGUUUUCGAGUUUCUUUAUCCCUUCACUGAUGUUCAUUCUGCUAUUUCUGGUGGUUUACUCAGUGGAAUUAGUGACAUCUCAGUUGAGGAAUUUUCCAAAAGUUGUAAUGAUGGUCGCAUUAGUCAGGGGAGAGAACAAACACUACUGUCUUCUGCUAAGCAAGUCGUGGAAUAUUCAAGCACCGAGUACUAUCCAGUCGGUGAACCGAUGAAGAAGGUUGGAGCUGCCAUGCAAGCUGCUGGUUAGUUCUCUCAUUUAAAUAAUUUAUUUCAUCUUGUGCAUGUUUAGCGAAGGGGAGCCUUGAAACAAUGAAAAAAUUGUUUCCAUGUGACAAAUCUUUCCUGAACAUGCCAGUUUCAUUCUAUCCUUCAAGGAGUUUAGUUUCCUGCAAUACCAGUUUCCGUUUUUAUGAUUGAGCUUUAUAUUCUGUGAAAUUGAUAACUGAUACUUCAAGUGAAAUACUGUAAGGUUCAUUCGACGCCUCUGGUACAAUUAUAGGCUGGUUCUUUGGUGUUAAUGCAUAUUCAGCAGAACUUGUAUUUUGGUUAUAAUUUUUCUCAUCAGUCUCUCCUUCUCCCUUGUCAUUUAUUUUACAUCUGAGACGAGGCUUGAUCUUUCGUUUUGAAGUUUUUUUCCUCUGAAAAUGGUUCAGUAUUUUUCUAGGUCAGUUGUUUUUAUCAUUUCUGUAUCCUCACUGUCAUGUAUUCAUCUUCUUUUUUUUUUGAUAAGAUAAGUGGUAUUAAUAACAGCAUCAAGAAGAUGCAAAAUUUACAAGAUAUGGCAUUUGAGCUUACAAAAGAUCUCUGGCUAACUAUACAAACUAUCUAAGCCAGAGCUAAUGAGUUAGUAAAAUCCUGAAGUUGUUCUGCAUUAACAGCAUGAUACAAGUUGGUCCAACUAAACAAAUUUUCAGUGCACCUAGUCUUCAAAAUGCCUAAAGCAGUUGACUCUCCAUCAAAACAUCUCUUGUUCCUCUCUAACCAAAUACACCAAAAAAUACAAGCAGGUAUCAUAAUCCAGAUCUUCUUGAUGGCUUUGUCAACUUUCCAUAGACUCCAACUCUCAUAUGCAUCCUUAACAGUGAGGGGUGUGGUCCAAUUGAUGCCAGAGAGACCAAAAAACAUGCUCCAUAAUUCUGAGGCCACCUCACAAUGAAGAAGAAGGUGUCUAGGGGUUUCAGCCUCUUUUUUGCACAUAUAGCAUCUGUUUUCUUAACAUGUAUUCAUCUUGCCAUGCUUUUAUUUCUUAACUCAAAAUAUUUAUCUGCAUAAUAUGUUAAUGAUAACUUUUUUUCUGCAAUGUUCCAAACUUCAAAUCAUGUGUUUGUUUAUAUACUUUUUUGCAGGUGAAGCUGUUUAUGUAGAUGACAUUCCUUCACCACCAAACUGCCUGCAUGGAUCAUUUAUCUAUAGUACAAAACCAUUAGCAGGUGUAAAUGGAAUCCAACUCGACUCAAAUCGAUUAACAGAUGGAGUCACUACUGUUAUUACUUUUAAAGAUAUCCCAAGCGGAGGGGAAAAUAUAGGAGUUCUUACAAAUUUUGGUACCGAGCCCUUAUUUGCAGAUGAUCUCACCCGAUAUGCUGGCGACAGAAUUGCUGUUGUGGUGAGCACUUCAAGCUUCUGCCAGCUGGAUUCAGUUUAUGAAACAUUAACUUCUCAUGCAUUUUAAUCCAAAGCAAUUUUGAACAAUUUCUUUAUGUUGUUGAAACAUUAUAGGUUGCUGACAGUCAGAGGUCUGCUGAUGUGGCGGCAAGAACAGCCCUCGUUGAAUACGACACUGAAAAUAUAGAUUCUCCCAUCUUAACCGUUGAGGAGGCUGUUGAGAAAUCUAGCUUUUUCCAAAUCCCACCAGGUCUAUAUCCAAAACAGGUCGGUGAUUUCUCCAAAGGAAUGGCUGAGGCUGAUCACAAGAUUCUCUCUGCUGAGGUACUUUUGAUUCCUCUGUAAUGUUUCAUUCGUUCAAAUGGUUUCCUGGAUGGUGAUUUUGCAUGUCUUGCCAUAGAUGUAUGCUAAAGGCUUACAUGUAUUACUGAUUAGCUCUUUUCAUAAUCAUUUCCAGAUAAGGCUUGGUUCCGAAUACUAUUUUUAUAUGGAGACACAGACUGCCCUUGCAAUUCCAGAUGAAGACAACUGCAUGGUUGUUUAUACUUCAAGUCAGUACCCUGAGUAUUCGCAUCGUGUUAUUGCCAGUUGUCUUGGUGUUCCCGAACACAAUAUCCGUGUAAUUACAAGAAGGGUUGGAGGUGGCUAUGGGGGCAAGGCAAUCAGAGCAAUGCCUGUGAGUAUUUGAAAAAGAAAUACUCCCUCCGUUUCCAUUUGCUUGUUUGUUUUUGACUUGGAAUGGAAUUUAAGAAAGUUAAAAGAUAUGUAGAAUGUAUCAAAAUGUUCUUUAAUCUUGUGGUCUUAAAUAUGUCGUGGAGAAACUUGAAACUAAAAGUUUGCCAAAAAAGGAAAGAUACAUUUUUUUGAAAUGGACUAAAAACGGAGGGAGUAGUAAUUGCAACAAAUCUCUGAAUCUGAUGUUGAAGUUUAUGCAUGAUUUCAGGUUUCCGCAGCCUGUGCACUAGCAGCAUACAAGUUAAGACGACCUGUCAGGAUAUACGUCAACCGGAACAGUGACAUGAUAAUGACAGGAGGACGACACCCGAUGAAAGUAACGUACAGUGUAGGAUUCAAAUCGAGCGGAAAGAUCACAGCAUUACAUCUUGAUAUAUUGAUAAAUGCCGGGAUCACGGAAGAUGUAAGCCCCAUUGUACCAUCAAAUGUGAUAAAAGCACUAAAAAAAUAUGAUUGGGGUGCCUUAUCUUUCAAUGUAAAACUGUGCAAGACAAAUCUUACCAGCAAAUCAGCUAUGCGGGCCCCUGGGGAAGUGCAAGGAUCUUAUAUAGCCGAAGCUAUAAUGGAGCACGUAGCAGGUUUACUCUCGUUGGAGGUGGACUCAGUCAGAAACAAAAAUUUUCAUACAUUUGAAAGCCUUCAUUUAUUCUAUGGUAACAUUGUAGCAGAAGGAGAAUAUACAUUGCCUAGUAUCAUGGAUAAGUUGGCAGUGUCGUCGAGCUUUUUCCAACGAAGCAAGAUGAUAGAACAGUUCAACCAGAAUAACACAUGGAAGAAAAAGGGUAUUUCUCGAGUGCCCAUCGUGUAUGAAGUUAUGCAACGACCAACCUCAGGAAAAGUCAGUAUUCUGCAAGAUGGAUCGAUCGUAGUAGAGGUUGGAGGGAUUGAAAUUGGCCAAGGGCUAUGGACAAAGGUUAGACAGAUGACUGCCUAUGCUCUUGGUUUAAUUGAUAGUAGUUGGGCCGAAGACCUCGUGGAGAAAGUACGAGUCAUACAAGCAGACACCUUAAGCUUAGUGCAAGCCGGGUUUACAGCUGGAAGCACUACAUCAGAAUCAAGCUGUGAAGCUGUUAGACUUUGCUGUGAUGUAUUGGUUGAAAGACUGACCCCUUUGAAGAAACAGCUGCAGGAACAAAAUGGCUCUGUUGAUUGGCCAAUGCU